This is a non-coding RNA of Podarcis lilfordi (Lilford's wall lizard), 70 nucleotides long. The record is from the annotation of a GenBank genome assembly. NCBI's taxonomy places the organism in Eukaryota, Metazoa, Chordata, Lepidosauria, Squamata, Lacertidae.
GUCCAUAGCUCAGUGGUCAAGCAUUUGCCUCGCAAGCAGAAGGUCCCUGGUUCCAUUCCCAGCAUCUCCA